AGUCGUGCGGCAGCGGGCCUCUCACUAUGGUUUCUAGUUUGUUUGAAAUUAGAAGUUGUAGUGAGAGGUGCCGGCGAGCGGCGUAAGGGAGAGUAACGCGUGGUUAUGUGCCCUUGGGACCGGGAUAGCGUUGGGAAACUGGCGGUAAUACCGGAUAAUAUCUCUGGAUCAAAUGGUGAGAUUCCGCCCAAGGAUCAGACCGCGUUCUAUUAGCUUGUUGGCGGGGUAAUGGCCCACCAAGGCUGAGAUGGAUACCGGGUGUGAGAGCAUGGCCCGGCUCACUGGGACUGAGACACUGCCCAGACACCUACGGGUGGCUGCAGUCGAGAAUCUUCGGCAAUGGGCGCAAGCCUGACCGAGCGACGCCGCGUGCGGGAUGAAGGCCCUCGGGUUGUAAACCGCUGUCAGUUGGGAGGAAAUACUAGGGGGUUAUCCCUUUAGUUUGACCGAUCUUCAGAGGAAGGACGGGCUAAGUUCGUGCCAGCAGCCGCGGUAAGACGAACCGUCCAAACGUUAUUCGGUAUCACUGGGCUUAAAGCGUUCGUAGGCGGCCUGGAAGGUGAGAUGUGAAAGCCCUCGGCUCAACCGAGGAAUUGCGUUUCAAACCACCAGGCUUGAGGGAGACAGGGGUGAUGGGAACUGUUGGUGGAGAGGUGAAAUGCGUUGAUAUCAACAGGAACACCGGUGGCGAAAGCGCAUCACUGGGUCUCUUCUGACGCUGAGGAACGAAAGCUAGGGGAGCGAACGGGAUUAGAUACCCCGGUAGUCCUAGCCGUAAACGAUGAGCACUGGGUUGGGGGGAACUUUCACAUUCUCCCGGCCGUAGCGAAAGCGUUAAGUGCUCCGCCUGGGGAGUAUGGUCGCAAGGCUGAAACUCAAGGAAUUGACGGGGGGCUCACACAAGCGGGUGGAGGAUGUGGGCUUAUUUCGAGGCUACGCGAAAGAACCCUUAUCCUAGAUUUGACAUGC
Molecule: ribosomal RNA, 969 nt
Filed under: uncultured bacterium
Lineage: Bacteria
Description: bacterial SSU rRNA
Rfam family: Bacterial small subunit ribosomal RNA
Source: RNAcentral